This 492-nucleotide ribosomal RNA is filed under the name uncultured bacterium. RNAcentral describes it as "partial 16S ribosomal RNA". It matches the Rfam family "Bacterial small subunit ribosomal RNA", at positions 29 to 507 of the family's 1533-position model. The record is from RNAcentral.
AGUGAACGCUGGCGGUAGGCCUAACACAUGCAAGUCGAACGGCAGCACAGUAAGAGCUUGCUCUUACGGGUGGCGAGUGGCGGACGGGUGAGGAAUACAUCGGAAUCUACUUUUUCGUGGGGGAUAACGUAGGGAAACUUACGCUAAUACCGCAUACGACCUACGGGUGAAAGCAGGGGAUCUUCGGACCUUGCGCGAUUGAAUGAGCCGAUGUCGGGUUAGCUAGUUGGCGGGGUAAAGGCCCACCAAGGCGACGAUCCGUAGCUGGUCUGAGAGGAUGAUCAGCCACACUGGAACUGAGACACGGUCCAGACUCCUACGGGAGGCAGCAGUGGGGAAUAUUGGACAAUGGGCGCAAGCCUGAUCCAGCCAUACCGCGUGGGUGAAGAAGGCCUUCGGGUUGUAAAGCCCUUUUGUUGGGAAAGAAAAGCAGCAGGUUAAUACCCCGCUGUUCUGACGGUACCAAAAGAAUAAGCACCGGCUAACUUCGUG